ACUCCUACGGGAGGCAGCAGUGGGGAAUCUUAGACAAUGGGGGCAACCCUGAUCUAGCGAUGCCGCGUGAGUGAUGAAGGUCUUAGGAUCGUAAAGCUCUUUCGCCAAGGAUGAUAAUGACAGUACUUGGUAAAGAAACCCCGGCUAACUCCGUGCCAGCAGCCGCGGUAAUACGAAGGGGGUUAGCGUUGUUCGGAAUUACUGGGCGUAAAGCGCGCGUAGGCGGCUUAUUAAGUCAGAUGUGAAAUCCCCGGGCUCAACCUGGGAACUGCAUCUGAUACUGGUAAGCUAGAGUUUUGGAGAGGGAAGUAGAAUUUCAGGUGUAGCGGUGAAAUGCAUAGAGAUCUGAAGGAAUACCAGUGGCGAAGGCGACUUCCUGGCCAAAAACUGACGCUGAGGUGCGAAAGCGUGGGUAGCAAACGGGAUUAGAUACCCCGGUAGUCCACGCCGUAAACGAUGUCAACUAGUCGUUGGACCCCUUGAGGGUUUAGUGACGAAGCUAACGCGAUAAGUUGACCGCCUGGGGAGUACGGUCGCAAGAUUAAAACUCAAAGGAAUAGACGGGGACCCGCACAAGUGGUGGAGCAUGUGGUUUAAUUCGAAGAUACGCGAAGAACCUUACCUAGCCUUGACAUAUAUUAGAACUCACCAGAGAUGGAGAGGUGCCUUCGGGAGCUUUUAUACAGGUGCUGCACGGCUGUCGUCAGCUCGUGUCGUGAGAUGUUGGGUUAAGUCCCGCAACGAGCGCAACCCUCGUCACUAGUUACUAACGGUUCGGCCGAGGACUCUAGUGAGACUGCCUUCGUAAGGAGGAGGAAGGUGAGGACGACGUCAAGUCAUCAUGGCCCUUACGGCUAGGGCAACACACGUGCUACAAUGGCCAGGACAGUGAGACGCGAUACC
Molecule: ribosomal RNA, 903 nt
Filed under: uncultured Campylobacterota bacterium
Lineage: Bacteria; Pseudomonadati; Campylobacterota
Description: bacterial SSU rRNA
Rfam family: Bacterial small subunit ribosomal RNA
Source: RNAcentral